RNAcentral lists this ribosomal RNA (465 nucleotides) under uncultured bacterium. Its description in RNAcentral is "partial 16S ribosomal RNA". It matches the Rfam family "Bacterial small subunit ribosomal RNA", at positions 338 to 795 of the family's 1533-position model. The record is from RNAcentral.
CCUACGGGGUGCAGCAGUGGGGAAUAUUGCGCAAUGGGCGAAAGCCUGACGCAGCGACGCCGCGUGAGGGAUGAAGGUCUUCGGAUCGUAAACCUCUGUCAGCAGGGAAGAACGGUCACUGUGCUAAUCAGCAGUGAAUUGACGGUACCUGCAACGGAAGCACCGGCUAACUCCGUGCCAGCCGCCGCGGUAAUACGGAGGGUGCGAGCGUUAAUCGGAAUUACUGGGCGUAAAGCGAUCGUAGGCGGUAUGUCAAGGCAAGGGGGAAAUCCCCGGGCUGAACGUGGGAACUGCCUUUGAAACUGGCAAAGUGGAGUGUGUGAGAGGAUAGUGGAAGUCCAGGUGUAGGAGUGAAAUCCGUAGAUAUCUGGAGGAACAUCAGUGGCGAAGGCGACUAUCUGGCACAUAACUGACGCUGAGGAGCGAAAGCGUGGGUAGCAAACAGGAUUAGAUACCCGUGUAGUC